AUGGCAGGUACAGAGGGAUGCUACCGGGCGACCGGAUGCGGAUCUCGAAAGCCUGUCCCAGUUCGGACUGGAGUCUGCAACCCGACUCCACGAAGUUGGAUUCGCUAGUAAUCGCGCAUCAGCCAUGGCGCGGUGAAUACGUUCCCGGGCCUUGUACACACCGCCCGUCAAGCCAUGGGAGCCGGGGGCGCCUGAAGUCCGGGACCGCGAGGACCGGCCCAGGGCGAAACUGGUAACUGGGGCUAAGUCGUAACAAGGUAAC
Molecule: ribosomal RNA, 262 nt
Filed under: uncultured bacterium
Lineage: Bacteria
Description: partial 16S ribosomal RNA
Rfam family: Bacterial small subunit ribosomal RNA
Source: RNAcentral